RNAcentral lists this ribosomal RNA (254 nucleotides) under uncultured bacterium. Its description in RNAcentral is "partial 16S ribosomal RNA". It matches the Rfam family "Bacterial small subunit ribosomal RNA", at positions 524 to 776 of the family's 1533-position model. The record is from RNAcentral.
UACGUAGGUGGCAAGCGUUGUCCGGAAUUAUUGGGCGUAAAGCGCGCGCAGGCGGUCCUUUAAGUCUGAUGUGAAAGCCCACGGCUCAACCGUGGAGGGUCAUUGGAAACUGGGGGAACUUGAGUGCAGAAGAGGAAAGUGGAAUUCCACGUGUAGCGGUGAAAUGCGUAGAGAUGUGGAGGAACACCAGUGGCGAAGGCGACUUUCUGGUCUGUAACUGACACUGAGGCGCGAAAGCGUGGGGAGCGAACAGG